This 451-nucleotide ribosomal RNA is filed under the name uncultured organism. RNAcentral describes it as "partial 16S ribosomal RNA". It matches the Rfam family "Bacterial small subunit ribosomal RNA", at positions 333 to 800 of the family's 1533-position model. The record is from RNAcentral.
ACACUCCUGCGGGAGGCAGCAGUGGGGAAUAUUGGACAAUGGGCGCAAGCCUGAUCCAGCCAUGCCGCGUGAGUGAUGAAGGCCCUAGGGUUGUAAAGCUCUUUCACCGGUGAAGAUAAUGACGGUAACCGGAGAAGAAGCCCCGGCUAACUUCGUGCCAGCAGCCGCGGUAAUACGAAGGGGGCUAGCGUUGUUCGGAUUUACUGGGCGUAAAGCGCACGUAGGCGGACUAUUAAGUCAGGGGUGAAAUCCCGGGGCUCAACCCCGGAACUGCCUUUGAUACUGGUAGUCUUGAGUUCGAGAGAGGUGAGUGGAAUUCCGAGUGGAGAGGUGAAAUUCGUAGAUAUUCGGAGGAACACCAGUGGCGAAGGCGGCUCACUGGCUCGAUACUGACGCUGAGGUGCGAAAGCGUGGGGAGCAAACAGGAUUAGAAACCCUAGUAGUCCCAUGA